Molecule: ribosomal RNA, 409 nt
Filed under: uncultured bacterium
Lineage: Bacteria
Description: bacterial SSU rRNA
Rfam family: Bacterial small subunit ribosomal RNA
Source: RNAcentral
UAGGUCUUGACAUAGAAAGAACUUUCCAGAGAUGGAUUGGUGCCUGCUUGCAGGAGCUUUCAUACAGGUGCUGCACGGCUGUCGUCAGCUCGUGUCGUGAGAUGUUGGGUUAAGUCCCGCAACGAGCGCAACCCUCGUCGUUAGUUGCUAACAGUUCGGCUGAGAACUCUAACGAGACUGCCUACGCAAGUAGGAGGAAGGUGAGGACGACGUCAAGUCAUCAUGGCCCUUACGACCAGGGCUACACACGUGCUACAAUGGGGUAUACAAAGAGCAGCAAUACGGUGACGUGGAGCGAAUCUCAAAAAUGCCUCCCAGUUCGGAUUGUAGUCUGCAACUCGACUACAUGAAGUUGGAAUCGCUAGUAAUCGUAGAUCAGCUAUGCUACGGUGAAUACGUUCCCGGGUCU